This 497-nucleotide ribosomal RNA is filed under the name uncultured bacterium. RNAcentral describes it as "partial 16S ribosomal RNA". It matches the Rfam family "Bacterial small subunit ribosomal RNA", at positions 28 to 507 of the family's 1533-position model. The record is from RNAcentral.
GAUGAACGCUGGCGGCGUGCCUAAUACAUGCAAGUCGAGCGAACGGACGAGAAGCUUGCUUUUCUGAUGUUAGCGGCGGACGGGUGAGUAACACGUUGAUAACCUACCUGUAAGACUGGGAUAACUUCGGGAAACCGGAGCUAAUACCGGAUAAUAUUUUGAACCGCAUGGUUCAAAAGUGAAAGACGGUCUUGCUGUCACUUAUAGAUGGAUCCGCGCUGCAUUAGCUAGUUGGUAAGGUAACAGCUUACCAAGGCAACGAUGCAUAGCCGACCUGAGAGGGUGAUCGGCCACACUGGAACUGAGACACGGUCCAGACUCCUACGGGAGGCAGCAGUAGGGAAUCUUCCGCAAUGGGCGAAAGCCUGACGGAGCAACGCCGCGUGAGUGAUGAAGGUCUUCGGAUCGUAAAACUCUGUUAUUAGGGAAGAACAUAUGUGUAAGUAACUGUGCACAUCUUGACGGUACCUAAUCAGAAAGCCACGGCUAACUACGUG